GACAGAGGGUGCAACCGUUGUUCGGAAUUACUGGGCGUAAAGCGCGUGUAGGCGGCUCUGCAAGUCGGAUGUGAAAGCCCUGGGCUCAACCUAGGAAGUGCACUCGAAACUGCAGAGCUUGAGUCUCGGAGAGGAUCGCGGAAUUCUCGGUGUAGAGGUGAAAUUCGUAGAUAUCGAGAGGAACACCGGUGGCGAAGGCGGCGAUCUGGACGAUGACUGACGCUGAGACGCGAAAGCGUGGGGAGCAAACAGG
RNAcentral lists this ribosomal RNA (253 nucleotides) under uncultured bacterium. RNAcentral describes it as "partial 16S ribosomal RNA". It matches the Rfam family "Bacterial small subunit ribosomal RNA", at positions 524 to 776 of the family's 1533-position model. The record is from RNAcentral.